This 484-nucleotide ribosomal RNA is filed under the name uncultured bacterium. Its description in RNAcentral is "bacterial SSU rRNA". It matches the Rfam family "Bacterial small subunit ribosomal RNA", at positions 8 to 518 of the family's 1533-position model. The record is from RNAcentral.
AGAGUUUGAUCAUGGCUCAGAACGAACGCUGGCGGCAUGGAUUAGGCAUGCAAGUCGAACGAAGCAGCAAUGCUUAGUGGCGCAAGGGUGAGGAACACGUGAGUGACCUACCCGCAAGUUUGGAACAGCUCCUGGAAACGGGAAUUAAUACCGGAUGUGAUCAUGAGACUGCAUGGUUUCAUGAUUAAAGCAGUAAUGCGCUUGCGGAUGGGCUCGCGUCCCAUUAGCUAGUUGGUGAGGUAACGGCCCACCAAGGCCAUGAUGGGUAGCUGGUCUGAGAGGACGACCAGCCACACUGGGACUGAGAACUGCCCAGACUCCUACGGGAGGCUGCAGUCGAGAAUUUUGGGCAAUGGACGAAAGUCUUGACCCAGCAAUGCCGCGUGCGGGAUGAAGGUCUUCGGAUUGUAAACCGCUGUUUGGAGGGACGAAAAUUGACGGUACUUCCAGAGGAAGCCACGGCUAACUACGUGCCAGCCGCGGC